RNAcentral lists this long non-coding RNA (246 nucleotides) under Lathyrus oleraceus (garden pea). RNAcentral describes it as "Pisum sativum (pea) long non-coding RNA (PSAT_LNC021450)". Lineage: Eukaryota; Viridiplantae; Streptophyta; Magnoliopsida; Fabales; Fabaceae. The record is from RNAcentral.
UUGGAAAAUAAGCGCUUUUUCAGACAAAGACCACACAAGGAAUUUAUACUGGUUCGCUUAUAACACAAAGCUACUCCAGUCCACCCGGCCAAGGUGAUUUCGCCUUCAAUAAGGACUUAAUCCACUAAUCUUGAAAGAUUAUUACAACCAACGUCUAAGAGAAAGAUCUCUUAGUCCUCUCAAGUAUGCAGACUGCGCAGAGUCACUUGAGGAAAUAUAAAACAGCUUAGAUAAAAACAAGGUUUG